Molecule: long non-coding RNA, 512 nt
Filed under: Corvus moneduloides (New Caledonian crow)
Lineage: Eukaryota; Metazoa; Chordata; Aves; Passeriformes; Corvidae
Description: lncRNA (ENSCMUG00000018402.1)
Source: RNAcentral
GCAAUCUCUGCCUGCUCCAAAGGGCGCACGGAAGACGAAUCGCGGCGCAGGAGGGCAGGCGAAGCUUCGGGUCAGGUUCGCCUUGCCCACUGGUGGCAAAGGUGUGAGAAGGAGGUAACUAUCUUACAGACAGAGCAAGAAAAGUAAAUUCACUUGGCUGUUCCAUAUCUCUGAGGAACCUGAUGCAUGAGUGGACUAGAGAAGAGAAAGACAGAAAAACUCCAAAGACCUACAGAUCAUCUGGCUGGCAGGGUCAAGUUUUCUUCGGAUUGAGGCAGAACUGCGGCUCACGGACAUCUGAUGUGAUAGAGCACACUCAACACUUUUAGAUAUCUGAAGACUGCAAAAGCUGACCAACAACAGCAGGUUUUUAAACAUCACUGCUCUUCUGACAAGUAAGUUCUCCAUUCUCAGAUUUUUUUUUUUUCUCUCUGGUAUUCCUGACUUGUAUUUUAUUCUUGCAUUUCUUAUAUGGACUACCACAUUCAUUUUCUGGGCCAAGUAAACGUGAG